AGGAGAAAUAAUAAAAAAAUUCCUUUCCAUGAUAAGAUACUUCACAUGUUUUAUAAGAAGUAGAAACCAUAGGGAACAUGGAUUUUGAGACAUCCUACGGGAUAAAAAUUGAUGAUACUUUUAAGAUUUAUGAUUAAAAUUUUAUAAAAUAUCAAUGGAUGAUUAGGAUGAAAUAUUGAAUAGUGAUAUAUGUCAAUAUCUUUACUUUCUCCUAAUAUUUAUAUGAAUAUAAUAUAAUAUUUAUAUUAAUAUUAAUAUUAUAAUAUUUGUUACUGCAAGC
Molecule: long non-coding RNA, 280 nt
Filed under: Elaeis guineensis (African oil palm)
Lineage: Eukaryota; Viridiplantae; Streptophyta; Magnoliopsida; Arecales; Arecaceae
Description: long non-coding RNA (EGUI_LNC026330)
Source: RNAcentral